UACUUGGAUAACUGUGGUAAUUCUAGAGCUAAUACAUGCACCAAAGCUCCGACCGUAAGGGAAGAGCGCAUUUAUUAGAACAAAACCAAGCGGCUUCGGCCGUUCAGUGUUGACUCAGAAUAACUAAGCUGAUCGCAUGGUCUUGUACCGGCGACGUGUCUUUCAAGUAUCUGCCUUAUCAACUUUCGAUGGUAGUGUAUCUGACUACCAUGGUAGUGACGGGUAACGGAGGAUAAGGGUUCGACUCCGGAGAAGGGGCCUGAGAAAUGGCCACUACGUCUAAGGAUGGCAGCAGGCGCGCAAAUUACCCACUCUCAGAACGAGGAGGUAGUGACGAGAAAUAACAAGACCGUUCUCUUCAGAGGCCGGUCAUUGGAAUGGGUACAAUUUAAACCCUUUAACGAGUAUCUAUGAGAGGGCAAGUCUGGUGCCAGCAGCCGCGGUAAUUCCAGCUCUCAAAAUGCAUAGAAUCAUUGCUGCGGUUAAAAAGCUCGUAGUUGGAUCUGUGCUGACCUCCCGGUCUACCUUCGGGUGUGUACUGGUGGGGUUGGCUUUCUGUCGCUUUUGGGCUGGUGCCCUUCACUGGGUAUCAGAUUCCGAGUGGCAAGUUUACUUUGAACAAAUCAGAGUGCUUCAAACAGGCGUUUCGCUUGAAUGUUCGUGCAUGGAAUAAUAGAAGAGGAUUUCGGUUCUAUUUUAUUGGUUUUAUAGACUGAGAUAAUGGUUAACAGAGACAAACGGGGGCAUUCGUAUUGCUACGUGAGAGGUGAAAUUCUUGGACCGUAGCAAGACGAACUACAGCGAAAGC
Molecule: ribosomal RNA, 808 nt
Filed under: Tylenchorhynchus claytoni
Lineage: Eukaryota; Metazoa; Nematoda; Chromadorea; Rhabditida; Telotylenchidae
Description: SSU rRNA
Rfam family: Eukaryotic small subunit ribosomal RNA
Source: RNAcentral